AGGCUGGGAAAGUCGGAGGCAGUGGGUUAAGGAUCCAGGAUUGCUUCAUCGUGGAGGCCCACAGACCAGGAGUGGACUCAGACAAGGGUCUUCUGUUCCAGUCCACAGUUCCUCUGCAGUCAACAUUUCCAGAAGAUCUCAAGUAGCAUGAAUUUUGGUGCCUUGCCCCAUUCCCUGCUUUCCCCGGAUGACUUAUCUUUUAGGAUAAGCACUAACAAAAGGUCAAGGUUAUUCUAAAGUGCCCCACAGAGGAGGGAGCUCUUCCUCCUGGUUCCUGAAGAUGAACCUCGCACAAUUGUAACUGACACCAGGCUGCAAGUGGGGCUCUGCAGAUGAGGUCCGCAGGGCACGGCUUGGCACCGCUGGCGAUCGCAACCGUGCCAUGUCGUUUAUUACACCCGAAGAUGAAUUUCCUCGCCUUUGUGACACAGCAACCAAGAAGCGCGGAUUCCCCCACCCCCGCCACCCGUUCGCCUGCCUCUAAUUUUCAAACGUAACAAAAGGUCAUGCUCUGGCCGGCAGAUACACCUUGCUUCACAUUUUUUAAGGAAACCUGGAAAUAAACCUGCUUCUUUCUGUCUUUUGCGUCGCUGCGCUGGAAGAUGAUGCUUCUGCAUCCCUGAAAUCUUGGGGGAGGGGGGAGGUGGGGGGAGCCCCGAGGUGCAGCGGGAGCGCCGCCGCCACAGCCCGGGCCCCAGCACCAGCUAUGUGCCAUAACACCCCCCCGGCGAGCU
Molecule: long non-coding RNA, 734 nt
Organism: Falco peregrinus (peregrine falcon)
Lineage: Eukaryota; Metazoa; Chordata; Aves; Falconiformes; Falconidae
Exons: 4
Source: RefSeq, a predicted model, not a curated record